This 253-nucleotide ribosomal RNA is filed under the name uncultured bacterium. Its description in RNAcentral is "partial 16S ribosomal RNA". It matches the Rfam family "Bacterial small subunit ribosomal RNA", at positions 524 to 776 of the family's 1533-position model. The record is from RNAcentral.
UACGGAGGAUGCAAGCGUUAUCCGGAAUGAUUGGGCGUAAAGCGUCCGCAGGUGGCUGUGUAAGUCUGCUGUUAAAGAGUGAGGCUCAACCUCAUAAAGGCAGUGGAAACUACAUGGCUAGAGUGCGUUCGGGGCAGAGGGAAUUCCUGGUGUAGCGGUGAAAUGCGUAGAGAUCAGGAAGAACACCGGUGGCGAAAGCGUUCUGCUAGACCUGUACUGACACUGAGGGACGAAAGCUAGGGGAGCGAACAGG